Molecule: ribosomal RNA, 584 nt
Filed under: Mycale flagellifera
Lineage: Eukaryota; Metazoa; Porifera; Demospongiae; Poecilosclerida; Mycalidae
Description: LSU rRNA
Rfam family: Eukaryotic large subunit ribosomal RNA
Source: RNAcentral
CCAAGGAGUGCAACGUGCGCGCGAGUCUUUGGGUGGCAAACCCCUCGGCGCAGUGAAAGCGGAAGCGGGCUCCGGCCUGCCGAGGCGAGAUCCCCGCCCUCUCGGGGGAGGGGCGCAUCGUCGACCGAUCCCGAUCCACGCCGUGGUGGAAUUUGAGUGAGAGCGUGCCCGUUGCGACCCGAAAGAUGGUGAACUAUGCCUGAAUAGGGCGAAGCCAGGGGAAACCCUGGUGGAAGCCCGCAGCGAUUCUGACGUGCAAAUCGAUCGUCAAAUUUGGGUAUAGGGGCGAAAGACUAAUCGAACCAUCUAGUAGCUGGUUCCCUCCGAAGUUUCCCUCAGGAUAGCUGGAGCCCGGUGCAGUUUUAUCAGGUAAAGCGAAUGAUUAGAGGCCUUGGGGUCGAAACGACCUCAACCUAUUCUCAAACUUUAAAUGGGUAAGAGGUCCGGCUUGCUCGACUGAAGUCGGACGCGGAAUGCCGGGGCUCCUAGUGGGCCAUUUUUGGUAAGCAGAACUGGCGAUGUGGGAUGAACCGAAAGCCGGGUUAAGGUGCCCGAAUCGACGCUCAUCAGAUCCCAUGAAAGGU